AACAGAAUAGAAUUCUGGGCGGAAGAGGAAGUGAGGUCAGACUCUGCUCUGCUCCCGGAGAGACUCUGCUCUCUGGAGCACAGACACCAUGCUCCACUCUCCCAGGAUGGACGGAGGCUAGAAUCUUCCCGGAAACAACAGAAUCUUCCGUCGUGGAAAGGUCUCAUUUGUUUCCUGAAUUUCACUGUAUUCCCAAUCCCACCGCCCUCGUGCAUACUGAG
Molecule: long non-coding RNA, 221 nt
Organism: Alexandromys fortis (reed vole)
Lineage: Eukaryota; Metazoa; Chordata; Mammalia; Rodentia; Cricetidae
Exons: 2
Source: RefSeq, a predicted model, not a curated record